Molecule: transfer RNA, 72 nt
Filed under: Verrucomicrobiales bacterium
Lineage: Bacteria; Pseudomonadati; Verrucomicrobiota; Verrucomicrobiia; Verrucomicrobiales
Description: tRNA-Val
Rfam family: tRNA
About the family: Transfer RNA (tRNA) molecules are approximately 80 nucleotides in length. Their secondary structure includes four short double-helical elements and three loops (D, anti-codon, and T loops).
Source: RNAcentral
GGAGCCUUAGCUUAGCGGUAGAGCGCCUGCUUCACACGCAGGAGGUCACUGGUUCGAACCCAGUAGGCUCCA